Homo sapiens (human) is the source of this 1528-nucleotide long non-coding RNA. RefSeq annotates it as GDNF antisense RNA 1. The record is from RefSeq and is marked validated. Lineage: Eukaryota; Metazoa; Chordata; Mammalia; Primates; Hominidae. The transcript has 4 exons.
GCUCUGCGCCUCCUCUGGGCGCACUGCCUGGGAGCACGAGACUGGUUUGUCUGAUGCUGCUGCCGGAGCUGAGGUCUUGCCUGGAGAUCCGAACGAGACACCACGUCAACCGGCGCGGGGAGUCCCGUGAAGACAUGAGGGCGCCAGGAGCGCAGUACUGGAAUACCUGAGUUUUGGCUGGGCACAGAACUGUCUGGAAUACAGACUGCAAUUCCCAGCCUUCUGUGCAGUUCUGUGUGGCCAUGUGACUAAGUUGUGGUCAAUAUGAGUCACGGAAGAAUAGAAGAACAACUCAGAGGAGGAAGAAGUCAGACAUAGCCAGACACGGCUGCUAGCAGUUCCACCAAUGAAAGAGGAGACCAGGAUGUUUAAAACAGGCAAACACAAGGUGCGAAAAACCAGAAGCGAAAACUUCUGAGGUCAUUUAAGCAAGGACUAUCGUUAUCCCCGGAAGCAGAGAGAAGUUCCCUUUGCCCAACAUCACACUGCAAGCACGUGUUGGAGCUGAGAUUCAAACCCAGGCAUCCAGGGUCCAGGGCCCAUGCUUUUAAUAUAUUCCAUAUCUUAGGAGAAUUUCCCCUAUUUAAACAAUAAAAGUGCAAAAAUCUUGUGGCUAGCCAAAAUUUUCAGUUGUUUGGAAAACUUAUUUAUCCAAUAAGUGGAAAACUCACUUGUCCUCCAACAAUUCUGGAUAAAUGAAAGAACGAAUUGAACUGAGACUGGAAUCCGGGUCUCCCAGUACUUUGUAGUUCCUAUCCAUAUGGCUUGUCAGGAAGGCCACAGGGAGGUUAACUAACUCUGCGUAACCAGAAACAAUCCCACAUCAGACUGUUGGCAGUGGGAGUGGAACACUCAGAGCUGAACCGCAUGCAAGAUGGUUGCAUUUUCAUUUGCAAUGUCGUCAUCUUCCUCAUGGCUAAAGAGGUAUUUUGGAGUUGACAUGAAGGCUACUGUAAUUUUUAGAGGCAUUUUCUUUCUGGCCUGUAUUUACAUAUUGUGGUAGAAGAGUCAGAAGACUUCAAGCUUCAAAAGUGAAUCUUGUUGCGAGUUACAAAAGCACCACCCGGUGGGGUGCAGCUCUCAGCAUGUGUCACCACAGGCACUGUGAUUUCCCUGUCUUCAUCCAACUUUGGUUGCUGUUCUUCAUGCUCAGGAAUUCUGCAACUGCUGUAGCUUUUGCUGUUGUUAUGUCUGUAGGUAUGGACUCAUUUCUACCAUUCUGGAAUGAAACAUUAUUUCAAGGGAAGCUUCUCAUUGUAAAAGGUCCACACAUUCAGAAGGAAACUGGGAGUACAUUUUCUCAUAGGCCUGGAGCAUUAACUGACUAUGCAUCUUUCCCCUCAGUGUUGUCAUCAUGUUGUAAGGGGAUGAGUCAUGGACAACAUUUUCACACACAUACGUGAGGUCCAUUGACCAGUCUUUAGGACAACUAGAAAUCUUUUCUUUCUUUGUUUUAAAAAGGAAGACAAGUCAAGAUACAGCAAAUAAAAAUGCUCAGCACAUUUGCUGAAAUCUUAGCAAAAUCAAA